RNAcentral lists this ribosomal RNA (253 nucleotides) under uncultured bacterium. RNAcentral's name for it is "partial 16S ribosomal RNA". It matches the Rfam family "Bacterial small subunit ribosomal RNA", at positions 524 to 776 of the family's 1533-position model. The record is from RNAcentral.
UACGUAGGGUGCGAGCGUUAAUCGGAAUUACUGGGCGUAAAGCGUGCGUAGGCGGUUUUUCAAGCUUGAUGUGAAAGCCCCGGGCUUAACCUGGGAAUGGCAUUGAGGACUGAGAGGCUAGAGUGCGGCAGAGGGAGGUGGAAUUCCACGUGUAGCAGUGAAAUGCGUAGAGAUGUGGAGGAACACCGAUGGCGAAGGCAGCCUCCUGGGCCAGCACUGACGCUCAUGCACGAAAGCGUGGGGAGCAAACAGG